Molecule: ribosomal RNA, 253 nt
Filed under: uncultured bacterium
Lineage: Bacteria
Description: partial 16S ribosomal RNA
Rfam family: Bacterial small subunit ribosomal RNA
Source: RNAcentral
UACAGAGGGGGCAAGCGUUGUUCGGAACUACUGGGCGUAAAGGGCGCGUAGGCGGCCUGCUAAGUCGAACGUGAAAUCCCUGGGCUCAACCCAGGAACUGCGUCCGAUACUGGUUGGCUUGAAUCCGGGAGAGGGAUGUGGAAUUCCAGGUGUAGCGGUGAAAUGCGUAGAUAUCUGGAGGAACACCGGUGGCGAAGGCGACAUCCUGGACCGGUAUUGACGCUGAGGCGCGAAAGCCAGGGGAGCAAACGGG